This 528-nucleotide long non-coding RNA is filed under the name Homo sapiens (human). Its description in RNAcentral is "non-protein coding lnc-SORCS3-7:1". Lineage: Eukaryota; Metazoa; Chordata; Mammalia; Primates; Hominidae. The record is from RNAcentral.
CUUGAUUCCUGGACUCAUGAAUCCUGGACAUGGAAGAAACAGCACCAUAAAUUGGAUGCUGAUUCAGAGCAUAUACAGCCUUCUGCAGAACUUUGCCCCAGCCCUGAAAUAUGUUGCCAACUAGCUAGUGCUGUAACUGAAGCUCCAAAAGGCCAUUCCACUGUACUAUCAAACCAGCUGCUUCAGGAUGGUGAAGAACAUGGUCAAGUAAAAAUUGAGUGGGCUUCCUAUCUAUUUCACUUCGAGAAACACCAGGAUUAACUAGCCAACACCAUAGGUCUGCAUGAGUCAGAUUAUUCUGAUUGCUGCAUUGAAUCUGCUGUCCGGACGGGACACAGAAGGAAUUGAAUAAAGUCAUGGAAAAUGAAACUCAGGUUGGUCUUCUCACUGGCUUCUUAAAGGAAUGAGCACAUUGUGAUCCUGCUCUGUAUCGUGGAGAAAGACCCAAGGAUGAUGAGAAGUUCUGCUUUUGGAAUAGCGGCAUCAACAGCUACAUGGACCUGCUUCUGGGAAAAACAAGUGUAACUG